UACGUAGGGAGCAAGCGUUGUCCGGAAUCAUUGGGCGUAAAGCGCGCGUAGGUGGCUUCAUAAGUCCGUUGUGAAAGUCAAAGGCUCAACCUUUGAAAGCCGAUGGAUACUGUGAAGCUAGAGUACGGAAGAGGCGAGUGGAAUUCCUGGUGUAGCGGUGGAAUGCGCAGAUAUCAGGAGGAACACCGAUGGCGAAGGCAGCUCGCUGGGACGGUACUGACGCUGGAGGCGCGAAAGCGUGGGGAGCGAACAGG
Molecule: ribosomal RNA, 254 nt
Filed under: uncultured bacterium
Lineage: Bacteria
Description: partial 16S ribosomal RNA
Rfam family: Bacterial small subunit ribosomal RNA
Source: RNAcentral